GAUGAACGCUGGCGGCGUGCCUAAUACAUGCCAGUCGAGCGAACGGACGAGAAGCUUGCUUCUCUGAUGUUAGCGGCGGACGGGUGAGUAACACGUGGAUAACCUACCUAUAAGACUGGGAUAACUUCGGGAAACCGUAGCUAAUACCGGAUAAUAUUUUGAACCGCAUGGUUCAAAAGUGAAAGACGGUCUUUCUGUCACUUAUAGAUGGAUCCGCGCUUCAUUAGCUAGUUGGUAAGGUAACGGCUUACCAAGGCAACGAUGCAUAGCCGACCUGAGGGGGUGAUCGGCCACACUGGAACUGAGACACGGUCCAGACUCCUACGGGAGGCAGCAGUAGGGAAUCUUCCGCAAUGGGCGAAAGCCUGACGGAGCAACGCCGCGUGAGUGAUGAAGGUCUUCGGAUCGUAAAACUCUGUUAUUAGGGAAGAACAUAUGUGUAAGUAACUGUGCACAUCUUGACGGUACCUAAUCAGAAAGCCACGGCUAACUACGUG
This 497-nucleotide ribosomal RNA is filed under the name uncultured bacterium. RNAcentral's name for it is "partial 16S ribosomal RNA". It matches the Rfam family "Bacterial small subunit ribosomal RNA", at positions 28 to 507 of the family's 1533-position model. The record is from RNAcentral.